AAACAGCCCCCUAUGUUUUGAUUCUUUGGCAAUUUUGGACCCCCAAGGCAAAAAUAAAAUAAAAUUGACACGUGGCACCUCACUUAGGGUGCCACGUCAGCGUUGACCGAGUCAACAAUGGACUGGGGUCCAAAACUGCCAAAGAAUCAAAACAUAGGGGGCUGUUU
This 167-nucleotide microRNA precursor is filed under the name Medicago truncatula (barrel medic). Its description in RNAcentral is "MIR2619 microRNA precursor family". It matches the Rfam family "MIR2619 microRNA precursor family". Lineage: Eukaryota; Viridiplantae; Streptophyta; Magnoliopsida; Fabales; Fabaceae. The record is from Rfam by way of RNAcentral.